RNAcentral lists this unclassified non-coding RNA (283 nucleotides) under fungal sp. RNAcentral's name for it is "partial internal transcribed spacer region". The stretch from base 1 to 46 matches the Rfam family "Eukaryotic small subunit ribosomal RNA", at positions 1786 to 1831 of the family's 1831-position model. Lineage: Eukaryota; Fungi. The record is from RNAcentral.
AAGUCGUAACAAGGUAACCGUAGGUGAACCUGCGGUUGGAUCAUUAAAGAAUUUUAAAGGUUUUCGAAUCUUUAGCUUUAAAUUGGGUUAGUUCUUCCCUUAAAAGAAGACUAACUUCAAACCUUGUGUGAAUUGUAAACUGUCUUUGGUAAGAAUGAAUGGUUCUCUUUUUUUGAGUUCCUUUAUCGCUUACCAAAAUUCAACUUUAAACAUUGUUUUUUAUUUAGUCUUUAAUCAAUUAUUAAAUUGAAAACAACUUUUGACAACGGAUCUCUUGGCUCUC